UGUACGGCCCGCCCAUAGCUCCUUCGACGGCGCCGCCUAGGAACGCGGAGAAAAUAUGACAAAGGAACGGCCAAAAAUAAAAAGAAAGACCUUUCUUUUGAAAAAACAAACAAAAAAAAGAAAUGCAACACGAGGACUUCCCAGGAGGUCACCCAUCCUAGUACUACUCUCGCCCAAGCAUGCUUAACUUCGGAGUUCUGAUGGGAUCCGGUGCUUUAGUGUUGGUAUGAUCGCAUCCGACAUACCGUGCGUUCUCCUCCCCUUUAUGCCCGCGCCUCCGUGUACGGCCCGCCCAUAGCUCCUUCGACGGCGCCGCCUAGGAACGCGGAGAAAAUAUGACAAAGGAACGGCCAAAAAUAAAAAGAAAGACCUUUCUUUUGAAAAAACAAACAAAAAAAAGGAAUGCAACACGAGGACUUCCCAGGAGGUCACCCAUCCUAGUACUACUCUCGCCCAAGCACGCUUAACUUCGGAGUUCUGAUGGGAUCCGGUGCUUUAGUGCUGGUAUGAUCGCAUCCGACAUACCGUGCGUUCUCCUCCCCUUUAUGCCCGCGCCUCCGUGUACGGCCCGCCCAUAGCUCCUUCGACGGCGCCGCCUAGGAACGCGGAGAAAAUAUGACAAAGGAACGGCCAAAAAUAAAAAGAAAGACCUUUCUUUUGAAAAAACAAACAAAAAAAAGGAAUGCAACACGAGGACUUCCCAGGAGGUCACCCAUCCUAGUACUACUCUCGCCCAAGCACGCUUAACUUCGGAGUUCUGAUGGGAUCCGGUGCUUUAGUGCUGGUAUGAUCGCAUCCGACAUACCGUGCGUUCUCCUCCCCUUUAUGCCCGCGCCUCCGUGUACGGCCCGCCCAUAGCUCCUUCGACGGCGCCGCCUAGGAACGCGGAGAAAAUAUGACAAAGGAACGGCCAAAAAUAAAAAGAAAGACCUUUCUUUUGAAAAAACAAACAAAUAAAAGGAAUGCAACACGAGGACUUCCCAGGAGGUCACCCAUCCUAGUACUACUCUCGCCCAAGCACGCUUAACUUCAGAGUUCUGAUGGGAUCCGGUGCUUUAGUGCUGGUAUGAUCGCAUCCGACAUACCGUGCGUUCUCCUCCCCUUUAUGCCCGCGCCUCCGUGUACGGCCCGCCCAUAGCUCCUUCGACGGCGCCGCCUAGGAACGCGGAGAAAAUAUGACAAAGGAACGGCCAAAAAUAAAAAGAAAGACCUUUCUUUUGAAAAAACAAACAAAUAAAAGGAAUGCAACACGAGGACUUCCCAGGAGGUCACCCAUCCUAGUACUACUCUCGCCCAAGCACGCUUAACUUCGGAGUUCUGAUGAGAUCCGGUGCUUUAGUGCUGGUAUGAUCGCAUUCGACAUACCGUGCGUUCUCCUCCCCUUUAUGCCCGCGCCUCCAUGUACGGCCCGCCCAUAGCUCCUUCGACGGCGCCGCCUAGGAACGCGGAGAAAAUAUGACAAAGGAACGGCCACGAAUAAAAAGAGAGACCUUUCUUUUGAAAAAACAAACGCCUCCGUGUACGGCCCGCCCAUAGCUCCUUCGACGGCGCCGCCUAGGAACGCGGAGAAAAUAUGACAAAGGAACGGCCAAAAAUAAAAAGAAAGACCUUUCUUUUGAAAAAACAAACAAAAAAAAGGAAUGCAACACGAGGACUUCCCAGGAGGUCACCCAUCCUAGUACUACUCUCGCCCAAGCACGCUUAACUUCGGAGUUCUGAUGGGAUCCGGUGCUUUAGUGCUGGUAUGAUCGCAUCCGACAUACCGUGCGUUCUCCUCCCCUUUAUGCCCGCGCCUCCGUGUACGGCCCGCCCAUAGCUCCUUCGACGGCGCCGCCUAGGAACGCGGAGAAAAUAUGACAAAGGAACGGCCAAAAAUAAAAAGAAAGACCUUUCUUUUGAAAAAACAAACAAAUAAAAGGAAUGCAACACGAGGACUUCCCAGGAGGUCACCCAUCCUAGUACUACUCUCGCCCAAGCACGCUUAACUUCGGAGUUCUGAUGGGAUCCGGUGCUUUAGUGCUGGUAUGAUCGCAUCCGACAUACCGUGCGUUCUCCUCCCCUUUAUGCCCGCGCCUCCGUGUACGGCCCGCCCAUAGCUCCUUCGACGGCGCCGCCUAGGAACGCGGAGAAAAUAUGACAAAGGAACGGCCAAAAAUAAAAAGAAAGACCUUUCUUUUGAAAAAACAAACAAAAAAAAGGAAUGCAACACGAGGACUUCCCAGGAGGUCACCCAUCCUAGUACUACUCUCGCCCAAGCACGCUUAACUUCGGAGUUCUGAUGGGAUCCGGUGCUUUAAUGCUGGUAUGAUCGCAUCCGACAUACCGUGCGUUCUCCUCCCCUUUAUGCCCGCGCCUCCGUGUACGGCCCGCCCAUAGCUCCUUCGACGGCGCCGCCUAGGAACGCGGAGAAAAUAUGACAAAGGAACGGCCAAAAAUAAAAAGAAAGACCUUUCUUUUGAAAAAACAAACAAAAAAAAGGAAUGCAACACGAGGACUUCCCAGGAGGUCACCCAUCCUAGUACUACUUUCGCCCAAGCACGCUUAACUUCGGAGUUCCGAUGGGAUCCGGUGCUUUAGUCCUGGUAUGAUCGCAUCCGACAUACCGUGCGUUCUCCUCCCCUUGAGGCCCGCGCCUCCGUGUACGGCCCGCCCAUAGCUCCUUCGACGGCGCCGCCUAGGAACGCGGAGAAAAUAUGACAAAGGAACGGCCCACAACUAGAAAGAAAGACCUUUCUUUUGAAAAGACAGACAAACAAAAGGAAUGCAACACGAGGACUUCCCAGGAGGUCACCCAUCCUAGUACUACUCUCGCCCAAGCACGCUUAACUUCGGAGUUCUGAUGGGAUCCGGUGCUUUAGUGCUGGUAUGAUCGCAUCCGACAUACCGUGCGUUCUCCUCCCCUUUAUGCCCGCGCCUCCGUGUACGGCCCGCCCAUAGCUCCUUCGACGGCGCCGCCUAGGAACGCGGAGAAAAUAUGACAAAGGAACGGCCAAAAAUAAAAAGAAAGACCUUUCUUUUGAAAAAACAAACAAAUAAAAGGAAUGCAACACGAGGACUUCCCAGGAGGUCACCCAUCCUAGUACUACUCUCGCCCAAGCACGCUUAACUUCGGAGUUCUGAUGGGAUCCGGUGCUUUAGUGCUGGUAUGAUCGCAUCCGACAUACCGUGCGUUCUCCUCCCCUUUAUGCCCGCGCCUCCGUGUACGGCCCGCCCAUAGCUCCUUCGACGGCGCCGCCUAGGAACGCGGAGAAAAUAUGACAAAGGAACGGCCAAAAAUAAAAAGAAAGACCUUUCAUUUUGAAAAAACAAACAAAAAAAAGGAAUGCAACACGAGGACUUCCCAGGAGGUCACCCAUCCUAGUACUACUCUCGCCCAAGCACGCUUAACUUCGGAGUUCUGAUGGGAUCCGGUGCUUUAGUGCUGGUAUGAUCGCAUCCGACAUACCGUGCGUUCUCCUCCCCUUUAUGCCCGCGCCUCCGUGUACGGCCCGCCCAUAGCUCCUUCGACGGCAGCCGCCUAGGAACGCGGAGAAUAUAUGACAAAGGAACGGCCAAAAAUAAAAAGAAAGACCUUUCUUAUGAAAAAACAGACAUACCCAAGGAAUGCAACACGAGGACUUCCCAGGUGCCCAAGCACGCUUAACUUCGGAGUUCUGAUGGGAUCCGGUGCUUUAGUGCUGGUAUGAUCGCAUCCGACAUACCGUGCGUUCUCCUCCCCUUUAUGCCCGCGCCUCCGUGUACGGCCCGCCCAUAGCUCCUUCGACGGCGCCGCCUAGGAACGCGGAGAAAAUAUGACAAAGGAACGGCCAAAAAUAAAAAGAAAGACACUUUCUUUUGAAAAAACAAACAAAAAAAAGGAAUGCAACACGAGGACUUCCCAGGAGGUCACCCAUCCUAGUACUACUCUCGCCCAAGCACGCUUAACUUCGGAGUUCUGAUGGGAUCCGGUGCUUUAGUGCUGGUAUGAUCGCAUCCGACAUACCGUGCGUUCUCCUCCCCUUUAUGCCCGCGCCUCCGUGUACGGCCCGCCCAUAGCUCCUUCGACGGCGCCGCCUAGGAACGCGGAGAAAAUAUGACAAAGGAACGGCCAAAAACAAAAAGAAAGACCUUUCUUUUGAAAAAACAAACGCCUCCGUGUACGGCCCGCCCAUAGCUCCUUCGACGGCGCCGCCUAGGAACGCGGAGAAAAUAUGACAAAGGAACGGCCAAAAAUAAAAAGAAAGACCUUUCUUUUGAAAAAACAAACAAAAAAAAGGAAUGCAACACGAGGACUUCCCAGGAGGUCACCCAUCCUAGUACUACUCUCGCCCAAGCACGCUUAACUUCGGAGUUCUGAUGGGAUCCGGUGCUUUAGUGCUGGUAUGAUCGCAUCCGACAUACCGUGCGUUCUCCUCCCCUUUAUGCCCGCGCCUCCGUGUACGGCCCGCCCAUAGCUCCUUCGACGGCGCCGCCUAGGAACGCGGAGAAAAUAUGACAAAGGAACGGCCAAAAAUAAAAAGAAAGACCUUUCUUUUGAAAAAACAAACGCCUCCGUGUACGGCCCGCCCAUAGCUCCUUCGACGGCGCCGCCUAGGAACGCGGAGAAAAUAUGACAAAGGAACGGCCAAAAAUAAAAAGAAAGACCUUUCUUUUGAAAAAACAAACAAAAAAAAGGAAUGCAACACGAGGACUUCCCAGGAGGUCACCCAUCCUAGUACUACUCUCGCCCAAGCACGCUUAACUUCGGAGUUCUGAUGGGAUCCGGUGCUUUAGUGCUGGUAUGAUCGCAUCCGACAUACCGUGCGUUCUCCUCCCCUUUAUGCCCGCGCCUCCGUGUACGGCCCGCCCAUAGCUCCUUCGACGGCGCCGCCUAGGAACGCGGAGAAAAUAUGACAAAGGAACGGCCAAAAAUAAAAAGAAAGACCUUUCUUUUGAAAAAACAAACGCCUCCGUGUACGGCCCGCCCAUAGCUCCUUCGACGGCGCCGCCUAGGAACGCGGAGAAAAUAUGACAAAGGAACGGCCAAAAAUAAAAAGAAAGACCUUUCUUUUGAAAAAACAAACAAAAAAAAGGAAUGCAACACGAGGACUUCCCAGGAGGUCACCCAUCCUAGUACUACUCUCGCCCAAGCACGCUUAACUUCGGAGUUCUGAUGGGAUCCGGUGCUUUAGUGCUGGUAUGAUCGCAUCCGACAUACCGUGCGUUCUCCUCCCCUUUAUGCCCGCGCCUCCGUGUACGGCCCGCCCAUAGCUCCUUCGACGGCGCCGCCUAGGAACGCGGAGAAAAUAUGACAAAGGAACGGCCAAAAAUAAAAAGAAAGACCUUUCUUUUGAAAAAACAAACAAAUAAAAGGAAUGCAACACGAGGAGUUCCCAGGAGGUCACCCAUCCUAGUACUACUCUCGCCCAAGCACGCUUAACUUCGGAGUUCUGAUGGGAUCCGGUGCUUUAGUGCUGGUAUGAUCGCAUCCGACAUACCGUGCGUUCUCCUCCCCUUUAUGCCCGCGCCUCCGUGUACGGCCCGCCCAUAGCUCCUUCGACGGCGCCGCCUAGGAACGCGGAGAAAAUAUGACAAAGGAACGGCCAAAAAUAAAAAGAAAGACCUUUCUUUUGAAAAAACAAACAAAAAAAAGAAAUGCAACACGAGGACUUCCCAGGAGGUCACCCAUCCUAGUACUACUCUCGCCCAAGCACGCUUAACUUCGGAGUUCUGAUGGGAUCCGGUGCUUUAGUGCUGGUAUGAUCGCAUCCGACAUACCGUGCGUUCUCCUCCCCUUUAUGCCCGCGCCUCCGUGUACGGCCCGCCCAUAGCUCCUUCGACGGCGCCGCCUAGGAACGCGGAGAAAAUAUGACAAAGGAACGGCCAAAAAUAAAAAGAAAGACCUUUCUUUGAAAAAACAAACAAUUCACAGGAAUGCAACACGAGGACUUCCCACGAGGUCACCCAUCCUAGUACUACUCUCGCCCAAGCACGCUUAACUUCGGAGUUCUGAUGGGAUCCGGUGCUUUAGUGCUGGUAUGAUCGCAUCCGACAUACCGUGCGUUCUCCUCCCCUUUAUGCCCGCGCCUCCGUGUACGGCCCGCCCAUAGCUCCUUCGACGGCGCCGCCUAGGAACGCGGAGAAAAUAUGACAAAGGAACGGCCAAAAAUAAAAAGAAAGACCUUUCUUUUGAAAAAACAAACCAAAAAAAAGGAAUGCAACACGAGGACUUCCCAAGAGGUCACCCAUCCUAGUACUACUCUCGCCCAAGCACGCUUAACUUCGGAGUUCUGAUGGGAUCCGGUGCUUUAGUGCUGGUAUGAUCGCAUCCGACAUACCGUGCGUUCUCCUCCCCAUUAUGCCCGCGCCUCCGUGUACGGCCCGCCCAUAGCUCCUUUGACGGCGCCGCUUAGGAACGCGGAGAAAAUAUGACAAAGGAACGGCCAAAAAUAAAAAGAAAGACCUUUCUUUUGAAAAAACAAACAAAUAAAAGGAAUGCAACACGAGGACUUCCCAGGAGGUCACCCAUCCUAGUACUACUCUCGCCCAAGCACGCUUAACUUCGGAGUUCUGAUGGGAUCCGGUGCUUUAGUGCUGGUAUGAUCGCAUCCGACAUACCGUGCGUUCUCCUCCCCUUUAUGCCCGCGCCUCCGUGUACGGCCCGCCCAUAGCUCCUUCGACGGCGCCGCCUAGGAACGCGGAGAAAAUAUGACAAAGGAACGGCCAAAAACAAAAAGAAAGACCUUUCUUUUGAAAAAACAAACAAAAAAAAGGAAUGCAACACGAGGACUUCCCAGGAGGUCACCCAUCCUAGUACUACUCUCGCCCAAGCACGCUUAACUUCGGAGUUCUGAUGGGAUCCGGUGCUUUAGUGCUGGUAUGAUCGCAUCCGACAUACCGUGCGUUCUCCUCCCCUUUAUGCCCGCGCCUCCGUGUACGGCCCGCCCAUAGCUCCUUCGACGGCGCCGCCUAGGAACGCGGAGAAAAUAUGACAAAGGAACGGCCAAAAAUAAAAAGAAAGACCUUUCUUUUGAAAAAACAAACAAAUAAAAGGAAUGCAACACGAGGACUUCCCAGGAGGUCACCCAUCCUAGUACUACUCUCGCCCAAGCACGCUUAACUUCGGAGUUCUGAUGGGAUCCGGUGCUUUAGUGCUGGUAUGAUCGCAUCCGACAUACCGUGCGUUCUCCUCCCCUUUAUGCCCGCGCCUCCGUGUACGGCCCGCCCAUAGCUCCUUCGACGGCGCCGCCUAGGAACGCGGAGAAAAUAUGACAAAGGAACGGCCAAAAAUAAAAAGAAAGACCUUUCUUUUGAAAAAACAAACAAAUAAAAGGAAUGCAACACGAGGACUUCCCAGGAGAUCACCCAUCCUAGUACUACUCUCGCCCAAGCACGCUUAACUUCGGAGUUCUGAUGGGAUCCGGUGCUUUAGUGCUGGUAUGAUCGCAUCCGACAUACCGUGCGUUCUCCUCCCCUUUAUGCCCGCGCCUCCGUGUACGGCCCGCCCAUAGCUCCUUCGACGGCGCCGCCUAGGAACGCGGAGAAAAUAUGACAAAGGAACGGCCAAAAAUAAAAAGAAAGACCUUUCUUUUGAAAAAACAAACAAAAAAAAGGAAUGCAACACGAGGACUUCCCACGAGGUCACCCAUCCUAGUACUACUCUAGUACCAAGCACGCUUAACUUCGGAGUUCUGAUGGGAUCCGGUGCUUUAGUGCUGGUAUGAUCGCAUCCGACAUACCGUGCGUUCUCCUCCCCUUUAUGCCCGCGCCUCCGUGUACGGCCCGCCCAU
RNAcentral lists this long non-coding RNA (7748 nucleotides) under Sorghum bicolor (sorghum). RNAcentral describes it as "long non-coding RNA (SBIC_LNC015499)". Lineage: Eukaryota; Viridiplantae; Streptophyta; Magnoliopsida; Poales; Poaceae. The record is from RNAcentral.